AGGUCAUUGCUAUUGGAGUCCGAUUUAGCCAUGCUAGUUGUACGAGUUUAGACCUCGUACCAAAUAGCUCAGUAACACGUGGCCAAACUACCCUAUCGAGCACGAUACUCUCGGGAAACUGAGGUUAAUAGUGCAUACGGCUCGCUGCCUGGAGUGGCGCGAGCUCGAAAUGCUCAGGCGCGAUAGGAUGUGGCUGCGGCCGAUUAGGUAGACGGUGGGGUAACGGCCCACCGUGCCGAUAAUCGGUACGGGUUGUGAGAGCAAGAGCCCGGAGACGGUAUCUGAGACAAGAUACCGGGCCCUACGGGGCGCAGCAGGCGCGAAACCUUUACACUGCACGAGAGUGCGAUAAGGGGACUCCAAGUGCGAGGGCAUAUAGUCCUCGCUUUUUCCGACCGUAGGAUGGUCGGCGAAUAAGUGCUGGGCAAGACCGGUGCCAGCCGCCGCGGUAAUACCGGCAGCACAAGUGAUGACCGCUAUUAUUGGGCCUAAAGCGUCCGUAGCUGGCCACGCAAGUCCGUCGGGAAAUCUCCCCGCUCAACGGGGAGGCGUCCGGUGGAAACUGCAUGGCUUGGGACCGGAAGAUCCAGAGGGUACGUCUGGGGUAGGAGUGAAAUCCUAUAAUCCGAGACGGACCACCGGUGGCGAAAGCGCUCUGGAAAGACGGAUCCGACGGUGAGGGACGAAAGCUCGGGUCACGAACCGGAUUAGAUACCCGGGUAGUCCGAGCUGUAAACGAUGUCUGCUAGGUGUGGCACAGGCUACGAGCCUGUGCUGUGCCGUAGGGAAGCCGUGAAGCAGACCGCCUGGGAAGUACGUCUGCAAGGAUGAAACUUAAAGGAAUUGGCGGGGGAGCACUACAACCGGAGGAGCCUGCGGUUU
This 882-nucleotide ribosomal RNA is filed under the name uncultured archaeon. Its description in RNAcentral is "SSU rRNA". It matches the Rfam family "Archaeal small subunit ribosomal RNA", at positions 21 to 903 of the family's 1478-position model. The record is from RNAcentral.